This 3845-nucleotide unclassified non-coding RNA is filed under the name Hevea brasiliensis (rubber tree). The record is from RNAcentral. Lineage: Eukaryota; Viridiplantae; Streptophyta; Magnoliopsida; Malpighiales; Euphorbiaceae.
UUUGCACAGAAAAAAAAAAAUUUAAAUGCCACCAUCUUUUGCACAAGCAAGUGUUCUAGUUCAUUUAUCCAUUCAACAUCUUCAUCAAAUCUGUAAGCUUAACUUAUACAACUUAGAAUCUUAUCCAAGUUAAGGGGGUGAGGGAUAAAAAGAUUUAUUGUGACACUUUCGUCAAAGAUCCACUUCUGAUGUCUGUCUGUGGAUGCUGGAAAUGAAGAAUAAAAAGAUAAAAAGUCACCAUCUAAAUUUCUUCCCUCUCAAGGUCUCAUUUAUCGGUGGCUCUGGCGGAAGCAACAAAACCUAUAGUUUUUCCGCCAGCUCAACUUCUUCUCUCCCUUUAAACCAUUUUCAUGGAUGCCAUUUACCUCAAUGUUCAUUUGCUUAUUGUCUCGCAAUGUUCCGUCUGUAAUUGGUAGGUCUGCGAUCCCAUCUUUGGAAGAACACAACACCUGGUUACUUUCAAUGGGAAUUGAAAGAUACUGUUCUGGUGAUGCUGGUGCUAUCUUGUUAUGGUUCACUUCCCUUGUGUAAGAAUUUGAUCCCACAGGCCUGCUGAACAAGAUCAAACCAGUAACCAAAUUAUAGUAUGGUAUAUAGCAACUAAAGACAAUCAAAAGAUGUAUGAUGAGAAAAUAAAUUUGCCAUGCUCUUUGGUUUUUGGAGCAAUUUAAAGAAAGCAGAUGUUUUAAAGGCUCAUUCUUAAGCAUUCCCUGGUUGUCAUUUUACCCAGAAACAGAACCAAGGUAAUCGGCCAUUAACAUUUUUUCUUGAAAAAGAAAAAGAUUUAGAUCCAACUUUUUGCUUCUUUGCCUGAUAAAACAUCACCGCAAAAAGCAGCUCAAUCUUUUUCCACUUAAAAAGAAAGUAAAGAGAUGCAGCGAAUACUUUAUAUGAAGUAGGAGGAGAAUAAGAAUUUCUUCUCUUCUUAUGUCCAGUCAAGAAAGGAGAUGACAUAUAAUUGUUACCAUAAUGAAAUUUUUCCUAAACGAAAAUAUUGAAAUGGAACAAAGUGGAGAACAAAAUGAAAACAAAGUGAAAAAAGAAUUAUAUGAUUCAUGUCCAAAAUAUUUGUGAUCAUGGAAUUUGGAUGAUUAGCAUUACCAUCGCCACCAUCAUUAUCAUUACCAAGAUUAUGAUAGGAAUAUGUUAACAUUAAGUACCUGACAUCACGAUCGCAGGAGCUAUUCUUGGAUUCAUGUGAAAUCCUCUCCACAGUUGUAACUUCUUCGGAUACUUCAACAGAGACCUCAUAGUCUGAAGAUUCUCCAUCUUCUACAAAAGUUGAAUCCUUUUCUGCACCCUUUUGUAGAUUUGGAGUACCUUCACUGAUUAAGCCAGAGGAAAACCUGCCUAGACUCUUAAAUCCAUGUUCCCGGACCAAAGAAAUGGCCUGCUCUAGAGUUUUUAAAGCUUGUUCUACCUCAGGACUAACAUGAAUAUUUGUUUUGCAGUUCACAAGACUCUCCUGUACAACUUUAUCAGUUAAGGGUUGACCUAUACUUUUGCCACAGUUCUUUAAUUCUACACUAACAUCACUCUCUUCUUCCUCAAUUUCGCCAAAUGUUUUCAUGCCUGUAGUCAGAGUAGUAUUUUGCAAAAUUUCAAUCACACUGUCAUUGCUAUGAACUUUCUGUUCUGUGUUGUCAAUUUCAUCUUUCAAUUGUAUGAUUUCUUCACUCUCAUUUUCUUCAAUCUCAUAAAAAACUUUCUUGUCUGUAACUUGUGCAUUCUCUGGCAUGGAUUCACUUGCACUUUCACCUCCCUGAACCUUCUGUUCCAUUUCCUCCAAGUUUUUCUGCAUAUCUUUCAGAGGAUGCUCUUGCGAUGGAAGGCAUGCAUCAUUCUUGAGUUCUUUCCCUUCCAUAGUUUCAUUUGCCUCAUCAGUGGAAUGAAGAGACUUGCGUAUUCGAGCAUACAUUGGAUCCUCCAAAGCUUUACUAUAAUCUUCAUCAUAGCUGGACACAGAAGCCACUGCCUGUAGUAGUUUAGAAAUUGGCAGUCAGAGAAACAGUUGAACAAUGAACAGGAAUCAUGCAUUCAUGAGAACGCAAGGAUGUAUCCUCAUGCAUGGGCCAUCAGAUGCAGACCCUUACCAACCUAUUGAGUUGAAAUGCAGUAGAUCCCAAUGUGCCCUUAGUUUCACACCCUUAUAAUGUAAGACAAUAGAUAGAAAAUUCAAGACCCUGCAGCUCUCAUUGCAGCUAGAACACAAGAGUGCCUCUACAGAAGUUAUUUUGGCUGGUGCCAGUUUUAGUAAUUCUGUGAAGAGCCUGAAGCCUUUAAAGAGCCAAAUGAGUUGGUCCCAUUGGCUGGUGUUCAGUGCACAAAAAUGAUCCCAAACCAAAUAAUGAAGGGAAGAGCAUCAGAGAAGAAAUGUACAACCUUUUGAUAGAGCUUGAAACCACCACCAAUAAGCUGCCUUGAGAUAAAGUUUAUAAGGGAUGGAGGGACAAAGUCCAGCUUCAAAUCCACGUUUGCUAUAGUCCGAAAGUAGCUUCUUUCUGAGGUCACUUUUUGUAUGGCAAAACCUCCAACAACAUCAAUCCUUACCACAUCCUUCACUUCAGGUAUCCCAUCCCUGGAAAAUCCAUGGGUAGUUUUGUCAAUGCUCUCCAAAUCCGAUAUCUGAAAACAAUAUUGUAAUGAAGUUUUACUUGUUUAGCUUCAACCUAGGAAAGGAUUAGCUGGAUUUCAAAAAGUAUGUCUAGAAAAGUAAUUGCAGCUGAAAUAGUAAUGAAUUUCACCAUUUAAAAAGAAUACCGUGUUUGUAAGAACAACCACCAGACCAUCUUUGAGGUAUUCAAAUAAAAAAUAGUGCACGACUGCCUCCCUAGCUGAUAGUGGCCAUGUUACCUUCACCCUUUCUUCCAAAAUUUAAGAAAAAAUCAGCCUUUUUAAGCUGUGGGAUUGAAUCAAAGGAAUCCAACAAGUUACUUUAAACAACUGCUAAAGUUUAAGCUUGACAAACCUCACUAAACAUAUUUGUUCACCAAUCCGGACUUUUUGCAAACAUUUGCAUACUGUAAUUUUAAAAGGCGGGAAACUAAUCUGUGGCCACCUGGGAAAAAAAAAUUUUAACAAGAUAUCACCAAACUACAGUGAGCUUCAGUCCCACACUAAAAGUUCUUGCCAAACAUCAAUCCUCAUCUCAAACCAUGUAACUCGACAUAUAGUGUCUGUGAUGCAGAGCAUCCCCAAUCCCCAAGAAAUUUUAAAGGCAUAAAAAAAUAAAUAAAGGAAAAUCAAACAAACAUAUGGGCAUUAGCACACACACAUCCUUCCUAUUUUAAGGGCAGGAUCGCCCAUGGAGAUUCUUAUUCUUCUACUCGUGAACCUCCUUACUAAUGAACUCAUUGGUAAGCUAUGGAUAUAAAUGUGCCAUAUAAGCAAUUUUCUUUCUUUAAAGAAAUAAACGAGAAAGAUAUGGUUAACAAAGGAAUAUAGGAAAAAAAAAAAGUUAAUUUUCAAUCAACUUGCGGAUGCUGCAAUUAAAAUUUCACCACAUAAAGAAAAAUAUUAAAUUCGCAACAUGUACAUCUGUUUUAUCUCAUGAACUCAUAAAAAUCAUCUCAGUGAACAUGACACAUUACAAAAUGAAGCAAUACUCAAAGAUGGACUCAAUUGUUACCAUUUCUUGUAGAGGGCUGACUCCCAAGAAAUACAUAAACAAGUAUCAAUUGGCCCAUCUACAUAGCCUUCAACAAGUAAGGUAUGAAGGGGAGUACCAUGGGGUCCUUCGCGAUACAUCACACGGUACUCUUCCUUAUCAUCCUUUAACUAUCAAGACAAGCAAAUUUCCAUUCACCAUGUGAUGUCUGAGAUGUUUUUGAUGCCUCAUGCUCACA